This 507-nucleotide ribosomal RNA is filed under the name Pristionchus americanus. RNAcentral describes it as "SSU rRNA". It matches the Rfam family "Eukaryotic small subunit ribosomal RNA", at positions 452 to 984 of the family's 1831-position model. Lineage: Eukaryota; Metazoa; Nematoda; Chromadorea; Rhabditida; Neodiplogasteridae. The record is from RNAcentral.
UCAUUCGAGGAGGUAGUGACUAUCAAUAACGAGACAGAUCUCUUUGAGGUCUGUCAUUGAAAUGAGCACAACUUAAAGACUUUAACGAAUCUAUGGGAGGGCAAGUCUGGUGCCAGCAGCCGCGUAAUUCCAGCUCCCAACGUGUAUAUCGUCAUUGCUGCCGGUUAAAAAGCUCGUAGUUGGAUCUUAGCUUAUGACAGUAGUUCACCAUGUGUGAUACUGCGUGUCUGAGCUGUUUCGCCGGUUUUCCAUGGUUUCGGCCGUGGUGACUGGUGUUGUAACUUUGAUUAAAUCAAUGUGAUUAAAACAGGCGUUUGCUUGUAUGCUUUAUCAUGGAAUAAUAGAAUAUGACUUCGGUCCAUUCUGUUGGUCUUGGGAUCGAAGUAAUGAUUAAAAGGAACAACUCGGGGGCAUCCGUAUCGCUGCGUGAGAGGUGAAAUUCUUGGACCGCAGCGAGACGACCUAUUGCGAAAGCUUUUGCCAAGACUGUUUUCAUUAAUCAAGAAC